This 253-nucleotide ribosomal RNA is filed under the name uncultured bacterium. RNAcentral describes it as "partial 16S ribosomal RNA". It matches the Rfam family "Bacterial small subunit ribosomal RNA", at positions 524 to 776 of the family's 1533-position model. The record is from RNAcentral.
UACGUAGGGUGCGAGCGUUGUCCGGAAUUAUUGGGCGUAAAGGGCUCGUAGGCGGUCUGUUGCGUCAGGAGUGAAAACUCGGGGCUUAACCCCGAGCCUGCUUCUGAUACGGGCAGACUAGAGGUAUGCAGGGGAGAACGGAAUUCCUGGUGUAGCGGUGAAAUGCGCAGAUAUCAGGAGGAACACCGGUGGCGAAGGCAGCUCGCUGGGACGUAACUGACGCUGAGGAGCGAAAGCAUGGGGAGCGAACAGG